This 197-nucleotide ribosomal RNA is filed under the name uncultured bacterium. Its description in RNAcentral is "partial 16S ribosomal RNA". It matches the Rfam family "Bacterial small subunit ribosomal RNA", at positions 335 to 524 of the family's 1533-position model. The record is from RNAcentral. RNAcentral also lists the same sequence under 1 other name.
ACUCCUACGGGAGGCAGCAGUGGGGAAUAUUGGACAAUGGGCGAAAGCCUGAUCCAGCCAUGCCGCGUGUGUGAAGAAGGUCUUCGGAUUGUAAAGCACUUUAAGUUGGGAGGAAGGGCAGUAAGCGAAUACCUUGCUGUUUUGACGUUACCGACAGAAUAAGCACCGGCUAACUCUGUGCCAGCAGCCGCGGUAAU